This 490-nucleotide ribosomal RNA is filed under the name uncultured bacterium. RNAcentral's name for it is "partial 16S ribosomal RNA". It matches the Rfam family "Bacterial small subunit ribosomal RNA", at positions 30 to 507 of the family's 1533-position model. The record is from RNAcentral.
AUUGAACGCUGGCGGCAGGCCUAACACAUGCAAGUCGAACGGUAACAGGAAGAAGCUUGCUUCUUUGCUGACGAGUGGCGGACGGGUGAGUAAUGUCUGGGAAACUGCCUGAUGGAGGGGGAUAACUACUGGAAACGGUAGCUAAUACCGCAUAACGUCGCAAGCCCAAAAAGGGGGACCUUCGGGCCUCUUGCCAUCGGAUGUGCCCAGAUGGGAUUAGCUAGUAGGUGGGGUAACGGCUCACCUAGGCGACGAUCCCUAGCUGGUCUGAGAGGAUGACCAGCCACACUGGAACUGAGACACGGUCCAGACGCCUACGGGAGGCAGCAGUGGGGAAUAUUGCACAAUGGGCGCAAGCCUGAUGCAGCCAUGCCGCGUGUAUGAAGAAGGCCUUCGGGUUGUAAAGUACUUUCAGCGGGGAGGAAGGGAGUAAAGUUAAUACCUUUGCUCAUUGACGUUACCCGCAGAAGAAGCACCGGCUAACUCCGUG